AGUCGUAACAAGGUUUCCGUAGGUGAACCGCAGAAGGACAUUAU
This 44-nucleotide ribosomal RNA is filed under the name Imleria pallida. Its description in RNAcentral is "Boletus pallidus partial 18S small subunit ribosomal RNA". Lineage: Eukaryota; Fungi; Basidiomycota; Agaricomycetes; Boletales; Boletaceae. The record is from RNAcentral.